This 1184-nucleotide long non-coding RNA is filed under the name Solanum tuberosum (potato). RNAcentral's name for it is "long non-coding RNA (STUB_LNC001652)". Lineage: Eukaryota; Viridiplantae; Streptophyta; Magnoliopsida; Solanales; Solanaceae. The record is from RNAcentral.
UUUUCAACAAAACUAACUUAAUAGGCAUUAACCCUCCCUCCCCCACACUGAUGAACGAUAGCUCAUUUGAACAAAACCCGCCUUAUAGGCAUGAGACUUCUCUCUUUGUCCGACGAACUCGAAGUCAUCUAAGCUACACUUGGACAAAAUCCACCUGGAUCUACUGAAACAUCAACAAUGUAUUUGUGAUUCAUGGUAUGUUGCUGCUCUUAUUUAUUUAACUCUCGUUGUCUCUUCUCGAUUUUUCAUAAUUUUGAGCUAGGUUUUUCUAUUCAUAGAUGGGGAUUUUUUUUAUUAAAGUAUUGCUGCACCUUUUGGCCAUUUCUAAGUUACUCAAACAAUUCAAAGAAAGUAAAUUUAUCAUCCCUUUUUAAUCGACUAAAUGAAUUGAUCUCCCGAUCGCUACUUUCCAUGUCCAAAUGGCAAGAUAUAUGUGUAGUUUUCAAAGCUACUUUUCCGUUUUAAUCGUUUGAUUGAGACUUGCAGUUAUAAAUGAGCCUUAGAAAAUAAUUACUAAUGAAUUUCAUAAUCUUACAUUUGUGUAAUUGACAGCCAAGGCAUUGGCAGAGAAUGGAUUUGAACCACUUUACAAGCAUAAUUUUACAACAGAUCCAAAUGAGCAAGAAAACAUUUGCUUGUUACCUUUCUACAAUAACUGGUCCUGUUGAACUUUUUAUUUGUCAUCUGCCAAAGUGGCUUUCUGCAGGGAUCGUCCCUAUCUUUUAGAGCUCCAUCUGGAUAUAUAGGAGGCUUGGAGCUACUAUAAGGUAAUUGAUGGAGUGGAUUGCAACUCACUUUUAGAACGCAAUUCCAUUGCACAUCCACACCAAAUAGAUCGAGACUUCUUCGUUGUGUAGAACUAGGUUAUGCAGCAAAUAUUUUUUUUAAGUUUUCUAUUUCUCAAGCAAUAACUUUUAAAUAUCCGAAUUGUGCCUUUUAGCUGUGAACUCUCUGAUAAUUUUUUUGGAUCUGUUAGUUGAGGGAUUAAAAUCACUCACUUGAUAUAAUUGAAGGUUAAUAGUGCUAAGGUAGAUAACACAAGGAUUAAAAUAAGAAUAUAGCCUUAACACAGGGACUAAAAGUGCUGUUUUUCCGGACUGUUAAUUUAUUAUUUAUUUAAUCCAUUUCUUGCUGAUAUUUUUUGUAAAAUAUUAGGAUGGUUGUGUGUGCCGAUUCGAUUUCAG